CCCUUAGAUGUCCGGGGCUGCACGCGCGCUACACUGAAGGAAUCAGCGUGCUAAAACCAUUGUCGAAAGGCAUUGGUAAACCCAUUAAAAUCCUACGUGAUUGGGAUCGGGAAUUGCAAUUAGUUCCCUUGAACGAGGAAUUCCCAGUAAGUGUGGGUCAUAAGCUCGCGUUGAUUACGUCCCUGCCCUUUGUACACACCGCCCGUCGCUGCCCGGGACUGAGCCGUUUCGAGAAAAGCGGGGACUGCUGCUGUCGGGGCUUUCGGGCCUUGGCUUCGGUGGAAACCGCUUUAAUCGCAGUGGCUUGAACCGGGCAAAAGUCGUAACA
Molecule: ribosomal RNA, 328 nt
Filed under: uncultured eukaryote
Lineage: Eukaryota
Description: partial 18S ribosomal RNA
Rfam family: Eukaryotic small subunit ribosomal RNA
Source: RNAcentral